RNAcentral lists this unclassified non-coding RNA (279 nucleotides) under plant metagenome. RNAcentral describes it as "partial contains small subunit ribosomal RNA, internal transcribed spacer 1, and 5.8S ribosomal RNA". The record is from RNAcentral.
UUUCCGUAGGUGAACCUGCGGAAGGAUCAUUACUGUAUAACCGACGCGCGAGGGCUGUCGCUGACCCGAAAGGUCGUGUACGCUCUUGUGUUCUCACACACAUCCAUCACACCCCUAUCUGCGCCACCUCGACGCUUCUCCUUAGGCCCGUUCGGUGGGGGGCUUACGUUUUCACACAAAUUUUGUAUGCAGUGUAGUAUAUAUUUUUUGUUUUUGCGAUCUCUCAACCAAUACAACUUUCAAUAACGGAUCUCUUGACUCUCGCACCGAUGAAGAACG